GGGUCAGUGGUGCAACGGAUAGAGCGCGCAUCCCCUGAAAGAGUGAGGUGUGGGUUCUAGUCCCGCCUGACGCG
Molecule: non-coding RNA, 74 nt
Organism: Parelaphostrongylus tenuis
Lineage: Eukaryota; Metazoa; Nematoda; Chromadorea; Rhabditida; Metastrongylidae
Source: the annotation of a GenBank genome assembly